UUUUGCAGGUGGGGAUGAAGGAGGGUGGUUUCAAUUAUGUUGGUAAACAACUUAAAGCUGAUGAGUUUUCCUUCCUGAUUAGUAGAAUCAGUGGUAAACUUAAUAGUUGGAAGAAGCGACACUUGCCACGGACAGGUAGGUUGGGUCUUCUUUUCUCUUCUCUAUACUAACUAUAUGGCCUUUUUUUUGGCUAUUGUUGACAAAAUUUAAAGGAUAUUGAAAUGUUUUUUUGGGCUUAUGAAUUGAUAGAAAAGGUAUGCAUCUUGUAUCUUGGUAGGAUCUUUGCAAUCCAAAAUAGGAUGGAUUGGGGUUGUUUGAUCUCAGAGGGAAAAGGAAGGCCUAUCUUGUCUAUACUACUGCAAAUGUGAUAUUGAAAUCUAAUACUUUAUGGGUCAGACUAGUUGUAUCAAAAUAUGGAUUUAAGGGGUCAUGGGAAGCUUGUCAUUGUCUAAGAAAAUCUUCUCCUAUUGAUACCGUUAACGUUCUCCUUCGACUAACUCAUGGAAACAUCGUAUCCCAAAAUCAGAGGAAAACCAUGCUGUUGAUAGUCAGAAUUCAAGUAGAGGCCCUAGAGAAAAAAACUUCGUGCAUAAUGGUUCAGCUAAACCCCAAUCUCCUUUGGGUCAACUCACUAUCCCAGCGUCAAACCCUAACUUCAGGUUCCCUUGGCUGAACAAAGCCAGCAGCAAUCAACUCCACUUGAACACCUCUUGGUUAUUGCCUUCUGGACUGAAGAGGUUGCUUUUAAAUUCAAAUGUUCACAGCCUUAAAUCCUUGCCAGUUCAUUUUUCAGAAUGGAUAGAUAGACUGCUGUAGACUGACAUUCCAAACUCCUCUAACAUUGAUUUAAUGCUUAAGCCUGCUUCUACACUAACAACACUCCCUACAUCUUGUCUUAUCCCUGUUCAACAGGUCUUCAGCACCAUCAUCUCAUCCAUAAAUAUUUCAACCCAACUGUCUGCAAAAACUCAAGACCCAAACAUGGUGAUUGAAGGUAGCAAAGCAAAUCCCAUCAACCGGCAUAUUAGAUCAAGAAGCCAAGCACCCCAGCAUCAAAAAGAAGUGCAAGACUGCAAGCAAAGAAAGUGAAGAUGCUUGGAUUAGAAGAAGUGUUAUUACGCCCA
Molecule: long non-coding RNA, 1124 nt
Filed under: Elaeis guineensis (African oil palm)
Lineage: Eukaryota; Viridiplantae; Streptophyta; Magnoliopsida; Arecales; Arecaceae
Description: long non-coding RNA (EGUI_LNC024829)
Source: RNAcentral